UAAAAAGGCAUGCCUUCUUUAUUUCCACCUUAGCAAGCACUUCCAUUGGCAAAAAGUGUCACAACUUAAACUUGAUAUUUGUCGAUCUGUAAGAAUAUUAUAUUGACGCAUUAGGAAGUUUUUAAAAUUAGUAUUGCUGGUGAUAACAAGUCAUCAAAAUCUCAUCAAAGUAGCACACCUAAGAUCGCAAACCUCUUAUAUUUCCAUUUUCAACUCUACCAUUCCAUUAUUAUCUUUUUUUAAAAAAAUA
This 250-nucleotide unclassified non-coding RNA is filed under the name Hevea brasiliensis (rubber tree). Lineage: Eukaryota; Viridiplantae; Streptophyta; Magnoliopsida; Malpighiales; Euphorbiaceae. The record is from RNAcentral.